GUUCCAUAUUGAGCAGUAGGGAGUUCUAGGUCUUUCUCUCCUUUGCUGUUACUCUCCCAGUCUGCAGUCUGAAGCCUUAGUUUGUAGUUCCUCCUCUGUGUGGGGUUUGUCCUGGAAAGAAGCCCUCACUGUUGCUCUGCCCAUUUUCCUAGAAGGAAGAUUCAAAGUCUAUGGUGCCAUUGGCGCCACUGUCCUAUUUUUAUUUUGAAGACCCUGCUGGUGUGUAGAUCUCAGAAGUACAGGCAUUCUUGUGGAUUCUCUGCUGCUUAAGUUUCAGCACAAAAAGUCACAUGUUACGAAGUGCUAAGUACGUGGGAGGCACCAAAAAUAUGUGUUAAAUGAAUGAAGGUUCUUAACCACAUACAGUCAACGUUAGACAUCUGAGCAGAUUCUAAUAGUGUAGCAGACACUCUGGCACACUGAGCAAAAUUGGCAGAAAUAGAUCUCUUGUGCAAUGAUAAUUCAAUGGCCAGAUCCACGUGGCAAGACAAGGGGAUGGACUCCAGCUAGCUCUGUGCUGCCAUUGGGCCUCCUCUAUGCAGGUCAAUGUACAGAAGAGCAACAAUCCUCAUAAAGCUGAUUAACGGACCCCCAGCAAUGGGGAGGAGGCAAUGAAUUUAGAACUUAGCCCUGGAAGAAAGUGAAAGAGACCCAAAGAAUGCACAGGGAAGUCGGGAGGCAGCAAAGUCUCCACCUCCACUGCCGGGGAGCCAGGACCCUCUUUGAGCUGGUGUCUGGAGGACCCUCUGCUGCCCUGGCCCAGUGCUUGCCUUUAUUUGCCCCUCUGCCUUAGGCCCUGGCUCAUCAGUAGGAAAUCUCAGUGCUACCUGCUUUCCAUCUGGUGUCCUUCCUUCAAGCACAGACACAGGCAGCUUCUGCUCAGCAGACCCCAGACCUAAGUCUUAGCAGGGAAAAGCCUCUUGGUGCCUCUCCUAGCUCCAUGCCCUUUUCCUCUCAUCUAUUUCAAAAAGUCGGGAUUGGGGAAGCAGUGAAGGAAUCAGCUGCUUCUACUCUCAAGAAGAAAAUAGCCUCACCCCAUCUCCUGCAAAAGGAGUACUAUCCAGCCUGUAAUAUUCAGGGUCCUCCGGAGAGUCAGAGCUGAUAGGACAUAUACACAGAGAGAGAGAGAGAGAGAUGAGAGGAGACUUACAAGCUGAAUUAGCUUAUGAAAUUAUGGAGGCUGAUGAGCCCCACAACUGGCCGUCUGUGAGCUGGAGAACCAGGGAAGCCAGUUGCAUGGCUCAGUCCAAGUACAAAGGCCAGAGACCCAGGGAUGCCAAUAGGGUAACUCUCAGUCCAGGGCCAAAGUGCUGAGAACCCAGGGGCCACUGGUAGAAGUCCCCAAAUCCAAAGGCCAGAGAAUCUGGAAGUGGGAUGUUCAAGGGCAGGCAAAGAAAGGUGUCCCAUCUCCAGACGAGAGAGAGAGUAAAUUCUCAUGUCCUCUGCCUUUUUGUUCCAUCUCAGCCCUCAGCUGAUUGGAUGGUGUUUGUCUAUAUUGGGUGAGGGUGAAUCUUCCUUACUUGGGCCACUGAUUCAAAUGCCAGUCUCUUCCAAAAACACCCUCAUAGACAUACCCAGAAAUAAGGUCUUGCCAGCUAUCUGGCUGUCCCUUAAUCCAGGCAAGUUGAUACCUAAAAUGAACCAUCACACAGCCCAAAGAGCAGACCAUGAAGAGGUGAGAGCCCCACCCUCACUCUGAGCUUCACCAGCAUGGCAUACACACUGCAUCCCAAGGGUCAUGAGACAUUCUGCUGGACACAGACCCAUAGGAGACUUGUGGAGUUUGGGGAUGAGAGUUGUUCCAGGGCCCUCCUUCAGCCUCAUCCCGACCCAAAAGUGGCCAUUCAACACUCCCCGAGGGACUUCUGUGUGGGCCAGGAGCAUUUUGCCACCUUCAGAAGCAUGAAUCAAGCCUUGCAGGCAAAACACUCGUGGAGACAGGAGGUCCAGGGCUUUUUGACAGCCCCACGAUGUGGUUAGCGCCUCAGGCUCCUUCUGCCUUUCUGUUCUACCAUUCUUAGUGCAUGUGUCUGUCCUCAAGGGAAACUCAGGGCUGCAAGAUGGCUGCUGCCGCUACAGUCAUCAUGCCCACCUUCCUGUCUUGAAGAAGAAAAGAAAGGAAGAGCUUGCCAGAGGAGUCAGACCCUUUUAAAAAGAUUUCCUGAAGCCCCCCCAACAAUAACUUCCUCUUACAUCUCAGGAGCUGCCGCAACUGCAAAGAAGGCUAGGAAAUGAACCGGGAGUAUCGCCAUCCUCAACAACAUAGGGAUUUUGUUGGCAAAGAAUUAUCUCAUGGCACCUAAGCCUUACUGAGCACUUAGCUGACGUUGGAUACUCUAAGCACCCCAUAUGCGUGACCUCAUGGAACCCUCACAACAAUGCCAUGAUGUGGGAACUAUGAUUACCCUAUUUUUCAUAACAGGAAGCCGAGCCAUAAGGGUUUCAAUCAUGUUUCUAAAUGACAGAGCCAGGAUUUGGCUCUGAGCAUGAGUUUUUCCCACACUCGGGCUAUCUUCCACUUGAGCCCCAUGCCCUCAGCCAUCAGCUGACUGCUUAAAUUCAGGUCCCCUGAACUGCCCCCAUGGUCCCCAGCCCCCAACCUUGUCACUGUGGUGAAAGAGCUUGGUCUUUCAGCUCGGAGGUCCCCAUUCAGAACCGUCCUUUGAGACCUGGGUGAUUCCCCACCUCUGAGGCUCACCACCACCAGUGGUGCCUGGCACUUGUGAAUUCCUGGUCCCCUAACCUGUCCCCUCCUAUCUCUCUUCCAUAUGUCCCUGUCCCUCUUUCUAUUAUUCUGUUUUUCUCUUCCUCCCUCUCUUCUUUUCUUUCACAACAUCCCUUUAUCCUUUCUUUAAAAUAAAAGAAACACAGUCUUCCGGCCAGGGCUUAGUUCUUAUACUCUCACUUUCCUUCUGCCCCUCCCCUUCGCCACCCUUCUCCUUCUCUGGCCUCCCAUUCCCCACACGGAGGCACCUCCCCCAACCCCCACUGACACACAGCCACCCCCGUGAGCACACGCUGUGGAGCAGGCCCAGAGGAAACCGCCAAGCCAGGGACAUAAACAUAAUGGAGCUGGCACGGGCCCCUCUCCAGGGCUCGGCUUGGGAGUCACUCACUGUCACUAACAGGCCUACGUCCCCAACUGCCUUCAUGAUGCUUGGGAGGAGAGAGCCCAGAGUGAAGGGGACUUUUACUAUCCUCAGAGGGAGCUUUGUUCCUGCUACAAUCUUUUCUGCUCUGCUCUAGGCCGGCCAGCAGCUUGAAAGAGGUUUUGGUUUAAAUGGGUCUCUCUCCUUCACUCAGCAAACAUCAAUUAAUUAACCAGAAUAGUCAACAGUACCAAUAAAGAGCUUGCAGGACUGGCCUGUGGGGUGGAGGUGGCAUCUUAGAAAACCAUGCAGGGCAGCCCAUUCUGCAAUGGAUGGGCUGAAGCCCCAGGGCUUGGUUUCCUGUCUCCCUCCCAACCCCCUCCUCUGCCUCUGACCCUUAGGCUGUGACUUUGGUGUAAAAGGAACUUGCUCUGUUACCAAACACAUUUAUGUAGC
Molecule: long non-coding RNA, 3545 nt
Filed under: Homo sapiens (human)
Lineage: Eukaryota; Metazoa; Chordata; Mammalia; Primates; Hominidae
Description: HSALNT0378053
Source: RNAcentral